Molecule: long non-coding RNA, 3350 nt
Filed under: Carassius auratus (goldfish)
Lineage: Eukaryota; Metazoa; Chordata; Actinopteri; Cypriniformes; Cyprinidae
Description: lncRNA (ENSCARG00000055811.1)
Source: RNAcentral
AUGACAGCAGUGCUCUCCCUUUCCCUUUUCCUAAUAACAGGAUCUCGAGCCUCAGAGGAUGUGGAAGUGUCAGCUGCUCCAGCUCUGAUACAGGAUCUUCCUAUGUGCCGACCAACACCUGUGUACUGCCCAGCGCCCCCUGGCUGGUAUGUGCAUCAUAUAGUUACAAGUAGCCCAUUACCACCAUCCGAUAUUCCAGAAUCAGAAGUUCAAAUUUCAACAACUAAUCAAGCUCCUACUCUACUGAAAGAACCAGAAGCUGCUUUGGCAAAACCAAAACAAGCCACUAAAAAGAAAGAACCACCAGUGCCUAAAGAAAAAGCCAAAGUAGCUCCUACAAAGAAGGACCCCACAGUUACUAAAGCCAAAGUAAAACCUUCAGUGGCAAAGAAAGAGCCAACAGCUGUGAAAGAGAAGUCUAAAAGGACAGAGCGAAUGAUCUCUAAAGAAAAGGCUAAACCUACCUCUACUAAGAAAGAAGAGAAAGCUGUAAAAGAAGUGAAGCCCAAAGCAGAGGUCAAAAAGAAGGCUGCACCAACACCGAAAGUCAAUCAAGCCACUGAAGAAGUUGUGGCUGAGGCACCAGCACCAGCAAAAGAUCUGAAAGCAGAGGAAAAUGUCACGGAGGGGAAAAAGCCAGGCAAGAUACCAUACUUCCAGUGUGUUUUAAUGAGUUCUAAAUCCAGCCAGUAUCCACUGCGGCCCAUGUCCCCAGCUAUGAGUCCAGCUAUUAACCCCACCAUGAUGAGAGCCAUGAUGGAGCAGAGGGCUGCGUUACUGCAGCAGAAAACCCGUGCAGCUGGCCAGUAACUGGACGACAGACCUCGUCCGGCCCUGGCAGAAAUGGGCAGACCUCUUGCAGUCCCACUGUUGAAGACUCCUGACCUAGACAGUCAUCAGACAGUAUUUUAUUGUAAAAUAUAGUAGUAUAAUAAAAGAGAUAUAUGUGUAUAACAUUUGACUUUGCUUCGACCAACAGUGAUUUUCUAGAUGAUGAUCUAAGAUCACUGUCAAUUCUUGUUCCUGUAACAUAUUGCACUGUUGAGUGCAAAUAUUGUGGGUAUGAGAGUUUCAACCAGGAAAAAACAUUGUCUUAUUCAAGAACACACUGGCGUAUGAUCUUUAUUUUCAGUAACUUAAGGAUUGGAACAACCUAAAUAUGUCCUUGAAUAUAUUCUCAUCAUCCACUGCAGUGGAAAAAAAUCAAAAUGACAAGAACAAGAGUGAACAGCCGGACGCAUCUUGAGUGCUGCUGUGCAUAUGGGCUGCAUAUGGUCGUAAGACUGCAUAAUGUUUCUACUCUAUGCAAUAACUGCAGCAGAAGGCUGUUUCUCUUUAAUCAGGACAUAUUGAGAAAGGUAGAUGUAGCUGUCUGACUUUGAACAGAGAAGUAGGCCAGAGAAAAAAUCUCACUUUGAAGUUACUACAUAUGUAGAGCCGAGAGGAUGUCAACUGAACUGGAUAUUCCUAAAAUUUAUAUAUGAAUGAACAAUACAAAUAUCAAUGACACUGUCUGAAAAAUGCACAAGAUAGAUGUAAUUGUUGUCUGAUUUGGGGAAAAAUCACUGUCUUACUGUAAAUAAGAGACAGUUUACAGUAAGAACGCAAUGUUUACGAGAUGGAACCUCAGCUGUUGAUUCUUAGAUGACUUUGCGUACUAUAGAUGUAUACAUUCAUUUUUAGGGCUUUCAGAACUUUAAGAGGUGAUAGUUGUUGCUCCUAUUUAUUUAAACAGUGACAAUGUCCGUUUCUGAGGUGCUAAAUAGCUUGCUAGGUUGUAUUUCAAUCGAGGCUGCUAAAUUGUCUUUCCUUCAUUAAUCUUGCACUGAUGACAUGACAUGAGGAUGGAUACCUAAAACUUGUCACCCUUGUUAAGGCUUGCUGUGUGUUUAUCUUAUGAAAGGAUAGAUUAGUUUUCCUUCAUAAAGUAGAUAAAUGGGAUUUUUUGGUUUGAUUUAGCAGUUUUAUGUCAGAUUGUGCCAUCAUUUAUCAUCACAUCACAAAGACCUAAUUCACAGUUUUAAAUAUGUGAAACUGUCAUGUUCUUAUGAAUGUUGAAUAAGAUCUGUCAGUGGAACAAAAGAAAAUUUGUGACUAAACCAUUGUUGCUUUUAUCUUUCAUUCACAUCAUGCUAGAUUUUAUCUUGGAGUGGGCAAAAGUCUGAUAAAGUAAUUACUUUGUGCAAAUUGUCUGUGACAUAAUUGUUUUUUUUUUAUUCAUUUGGGUGAAUUUUUGUUUUUGCAUAAAUAUGUGUCAAGCCAAAUAUGUGAAAGCAAUUAUAAAUAAAAGAAGCGGUCUGUGCAAUUCAGUCUACUAAAGUUUUGUUAUGAAUUAAAUAUCAGAGUAUUUUCUAUGUUGAGCAUGAACUCUAGGAAAAGAAUAUAUAUAUAUAUAUAUAUAUAUAUAUAUAUAUAUAUAUAUAUAUAUAUAUAUAUAUAUAUAUAUAUAUAUAUAUAUAUAUAUAUAUAUAUAUAUAUAUACACACACAUAUAUAUAUAUAUAUAUAUAUAUAUAUAUAUAUAUAUAUGAAGAGUUCAGAUGCAAAAGCCUCUAAAUGCCAUCUGAAAUUUUCAUCUAAAAUUAGGAUUUUUAUCAAGCUCCUAUGCUUAGGUUGAGUCAUUUUACUUUAAUGGCAAUGUACAGGUCCUUGUCCAGGCUAUAAUAGUGAAAUAACUGACCAUAAAUAUAGGAGCCUGAUAAAAGUCCUAAUUUUUUAUGAAAAUUUCAGAUGGCAUUUAGAGGCUUUUGCAUCUGAACUCUUCAUAUAUAUAUAUAUACAUACACACAUAUAUAUAUAUAUAUAUAUAUAUAUAUAUAUAUAUAUAUAUAUAUAUAUAUAUAUAUAUAUAUAUAUACAGUGAUAAUUUGUUACAUUUCUGGCUCUAGAACCUUACUUAUUGCUCACAGAAAAUAUAAGAGCACAAAUGAACCAUUACAGAAUAUUAGAAGCAAGUGAUAUCCUGUUUUUCUAAAUGUUGUUUUUGACAAUUUAAUGUAUUUUCAGUUUUCCACGUACAACAGAAAUAUCAAUAUAUCUUAAAUAUAUUAAAAAAAACUGUUGUGAAGAUGUGUUUAGUCAGCAAAAAAAUGGAAACUAAAUGGUUAGUUUACUCGCUACACAUUAGCUCAAAUGCAAAUACUUUUCAGAGUGUAUUUAGUGUUCUUUUUUUCUAAAGUUUGGUAUAAACUGUGUUUUCCUAGCAUGCUGCUACUAUGACCAAAGCUAGCUGAUGUGAUCCUGAUUUUUUGGUCUUAAAAAAAUGUAAAAAGUACCUUACUUUGCAAGACUGAAACCCAGCUAUCAAAACUACAGAGGAAAGAGUACAACACAGGAUAUUCAUUUAAAAAC